UUGUUUGCCAUUUCUACCGACGGUCAAAAGUGGGGGCCAGCAUGUGCAGAUACGUGUGAUGGUCAAUGCCGUAAAAAACACUGCAAUAAGGAUGAAUACGAGUCAAAUAAUCAUUACUGCAAGGACGAUUGUGAUGCCCAAAAUGGUCGGAUAUGUUGUGUGAAAGACGAGCCAGUAAUUAACUGCGAAUCAGACUGUGGUGGUACAUGUCGUAAACAUUGCAAACGUGGCGAACAAGAUGCGGAACCCGUAGAUGAGUGUGUUGAAAGUUGUCCAACGGAUUAUAGGUGUUGUGUGCCAGAUGAGGAAGCGUGUAAAAAUGAUUGUAAUGGCCAGUGCCGUAAAAAUCACUGCAACAGAGAUGAAUACGAGACUAAUGAACCAAGCUGUGUAAAAGAUUGUGACGAUAAAAAAGGUCGGAUAUGCUGUGUUCCAG
This is a long non-coding RNA of Saccoglossus kowalevskii, 436 nucleotides long. The record is from RefSeq and is a predicted model, not a curated record. Lineage: Eukaryota; Metazoa; Hemichordata; Enteropneusta; Harrimaniidae.